AUGAACGCUGGCGGCGUGCCUAAUACAUGCAAGUCGAGCGAACAGACGAGGAGCUUGCUCCUCUGACGUUAGCGGCGGACGGGUGAGUAACACGUGGAUAACCUACCUAUAAGACUGGGAUAACUUCGGGAAACCGGAGCUAAUACCGGAUAAUAUAUUGAACCGCAUGGUUCAAUAGUGAAAGACGGUUUUGCUGUCACUUAUAGAUGGAUCCGCGCCGCAUUAGCUAGUUGGUAAGGUAACGGCUUACCAAGGCAACGAUGCGUAGCCGACCUGAGAGGGUGAUCGGCCACACUGGAACUGAGACACGGUCCAGACUCCUACGGGAGGCAGCAGUAGGGAAUCUUCCGCAAUGGGCGAAAGCCUGACGGAGCAACGCCGCGUGAGUGAUGAAGGUCUUCGGAUCGUAAAACUCUUUUAUUAGGGAAGAACAAAUGUGUAAGUAACUAGGCACGUCUUGACGGUACCUAAUCAGAAAGCCCCGGCUAACUACGUG
RNAcentral lists this ribosomal RNA (496 nucleotides) under uncultured bacterium. RNAcentral describes it as "partial 16S ribosomal RNA". It matches the Rfam family "Bacterial small subunit ribosomal RNA", at positions 29 to 507 of the family's 1533-position model. The record is from RNAcentral.